This 253-nucleotide ribosomal RNA is filed under the name uncultured bacterium. Its description in RNAcentral is "partial 16S ribosomal RNA". It matches the Rfam family "Bacterial small subunit ribosomal RNA", at positions 524 to 776 of the family's 1533-position model. The record is from RNAcentral.
UACGAAGGGUGCAAGCGUUACUCGGAAUUACUGGGCGUAAAGCGCACGUAGGCGGAUUGUUAAGUCGGGGGUGAAAUCCUGGAGCUCAACUCCAGAACUGCCUUCGAUACUGGCGAUCUCGAGUUCGGGAGAGGUGAGUGGAACUGCGAGUGUAGAGGUGAAAUUCGUAGAUAUUCGCAAGAACACCAGUGGCGAAGGCGGCUCACUGGCCCGAUACUGACGCUGAGGUGCGAAAGCGUGGGGAGCAAACAGG